GAGCUGAGCCGUGGUCGCCUGUCAGGGAGCGUGGCCCGAGGGCCCACGCAGAGCUCUAUGGCAGCCAGCACAGUGGGAGAGGAGGAGGCUAAACUGGAGGGAGAACUUCCGGGUUGUGAGGGCUGCAGACAUUGGAUGGGGGUGGAGGCCAAAGGGUCGGCCUCUGGGAUCUUCCAGGAGAGGAAAGAGGACCCCUGUGCCCUCAACCCAGGUGUUCCUCACAGCGGCUGCAGCCAACGCCAGGCCGGCUUUACUGGCCCAUCUCAUGGAUGGGAGCAGGACAGGGAAAAGAUCAUUUGAGGUCACACAGCAGCCAGUGGCAGGACUGAGACAGAGGCAGGGCCCUGGGCUCAGGCCACCUUCCUCACAGAGGCUGCCCGCUGGGUACGUCUGAGGUUCUUAGACUCUAGAAAGUACCAUCUUAGCCCUCCUGUUCUAGGUUCUCCUUGGGCCCGACUUUUCUUUGCGGGUACUCCCACGCUGUCCACCCACCCAAAGAAACACUUUGUGCUACAAAAAUACCUGGCACACUGUCCUUUCCCCACCGACAAGCACCGGGAGAGCGAAGCAGCCCAGGAGGUCAGUGGAGAGAACAAGAGCCAUGUUCUCCAGAGGUCUGGGAGGGAAUCCUGGACCAGCACUCAGCAAACAGGCCGCUCACCCACCACGCUGAGCUCCACUUACCCCUCUGUUAAAUGGGCCACCAAUCCCCACCUUGCAGCACAAGGAUUAAGUGAGACAUCUGAGCAUAGAGCCUGGUAUAGGGUAAGUACCCAAUAAACUCCUAUUGUUCCCACUCCUCAAGGGGACAGAAAGAGGUAUUAGAGUGACAAGUGACAAGGUUUUCAGCACCUCAGGUCCUUUGAUGUGCCCUGUGAGGAAGGGCAGCCUUUGUGAGGACCCUGCAUCCAGGGUCCUAGUCUCGGUCUCAGUUCUGUCACUGGCCGCUCAGUGACCUCAGGUGAUCUUUCCCUGGAGUUUCCUAAUCUCUUCUUUGCGAUGGGCCAGUAAUGUUGGCCUGACCCUUCUCAUGGGGUACUAGCCCUCCCGUGUGGGCCCCUCUGUCCUCCAAGAGCAGGAAACCCACCCAUCCUGGUUGCAUGGGACAGCUACCCUUCCGUUCAAAACUUUCCAAGAAUUUGAAUGGAGGGAGGGCCAAAUCCUCCCUAGUCUGUUUCCAGGGCCCAGAAAGGUGGAAGGUACACUGCUCAGAAAUGUGGGUGAAAGUUCUAGAGGCUGCCCUCCAUCACCAGUGUGACCUGGGACUACCCCUCACCUUUCCACAUGCAAAAUGAUCCUGGUAUUCCCAUUGUGUAGAUGGGAAACUGAGGCACAGAGAUGGAAAGUGACAGGUCUGUCCCACUCCCAGGACGAGCACUUCUCCACACUGCGCACACCACUUUCACUUGAGAGCUUCUGUCUACACCCCACACACCCUGGAUAUGUGCACGGAGCAGAGUGGAUCUGGAAUUCUCUUCCUGGGAGUGUGAUUUCCAUGGCUGGUCUGGGCACAUAGGUGCCCACUCUGAUCUUAUAUACCACCCAGGCUUCUCCACACACUCAAGAACUCCCAGGACCCACGCCUGAACUCAAGAUCACCCAGCCCCCAGUCAUUCCAGUUUCAGAUCCCAGAGGCUAAACCCUCAUGUCUCCUGUACCUCCUUCCCCUGGGGAUAGAUCACAACCACCCUGAGCAAGGUUCGUGACUGACCUACUCCUCGUCCCAGUCAACUAGUUGCUCCCCUCAAUCCUCUCCAUCUUUUUCUUCUCAUCCCCAUGGCAACCACCUACUUAAACCCCUUUUACCUUCCUCCUCAAACCCUGUCUCCCUGACUCUGAGAUUCCCCCAGAGCAGCCACAGUGACCUCCGGACUGUAUCACUCCACAGCACACACCCUGUUCCUGGACAAGGCCCUUGGAAGUCUGCCCUCAAGUAGAUGGAUUCCCUCGCACUCCCCACUGUGUGAUCCGGCAGUCCCCAUCACUCACUGUCCCUGAGUCCGCUCAGCGGGGAAGACCUCCCACGCACCCCUCAACCCCAGGCACCUAUGAAAAUUCUCAUUGUCCUUGAAAGCCUUCCAGAGAGUCCUCUUGGAUUCAACUCCCCACACCCCUGCAGUUUGGGAUGCAUGGUGCCUUCCUCUGGUGCCUUGAGACCACAGUGGCACCCCACAUGAGAGGCCAUUGGCCUCUCUGUUCUUCUACCCCACUCUAUAUCCUUGCAGCAUGGAUGGGACCACCUCAUCUGAGGCCCCACUUCCCUACAAAGGGGUCCAAGCCUGCCACUGAGGUUCUGGACUGAGCUGGGGGGCCUGAAGGAUAGGGAAUCUAGGCUCAGCCAUCCUUUGGCUUGGCUCAGGUCCAGGGCAAGGGAAGUAGUGGGGCUCAGGGGCUCAGGCUGCCGGCCCUGUUUGGAAUCUUUGCCCUCCCUGUUGCUACUGGACACAUGCACC
Molecule: long non-coding RNA, 2453 nt
Filed under: Marmota monax (woodchuck)
Lineage: Eukaryota; Metazoa; Chordata; Mammalia; Rodentia; Sciuridae
Source: RNAcentral